GAGUGGCGAACGGGUGAGUAACACGUGGGAAACCUACCUCUUAGCAGGGGAUAACAUUUGGAAACAGAUGCUAAUACCGUAUAACAAUGACAACCGCAUGGUUGUUAUUUGAAAGAUGGUUCUGCUAUCACUAAGAGAUGGUCCCGCGGUGCAUUAGCUAGUUGGUAAGGUAAUGGCUUACCAAGGCGAUGAUGCAUAGCCGAGUUGAGAGACUGAUCGGCCACAAUGGGACUGAGACACGGCCCAUACUCCUACGGGAGGCAGCAGUAGGGAAUCUUCCACAAUGGGCGAAAGCCUGAUGGAGCAACGCCGCGUGUGUGAUGAAGGGUUUCGGCUCGUAAAACACUGUUGUAAGAGAAGAAUGACAUUGAGAGUAACUGUUCAAUGUGUGACGGUAUCUUACCAGAAAGGAACGGCUAAAUACGUGCCAGCAGCCGCGGUAAUACGUAUGUUCCAAGCGUUAUCCGGAUUUAUUGGGCGUAAAGCGAGCGCAGACGGUUAUUUAAGUCUGAAGUGAAAGCCCUCAGCUCAACUGAGGAAUUGCUUUGGAAACUGGAUGACUUGAGUGCAGUAGAGGAAAGUGGAACUCCAUGUGUAGCGGUGAAAUGCGUAGAUAUAUGGAAGAACACCAGUGGCGAAGGCGGCUUUCUGGACUGUAACUGACGUUGAGGCUCGAAAGUGUGGGUAGCAAACAGGAUUAGAUACCCUGGUAGUCCACACCGUAAACGAUGAGUGCUAGGUGUUUGAGGGUUUCCGCCCUUAAGUGCCGCAGCUAACGCAUUAAGCACUCCGCCUGGGGAGUACGACCGCAAGGUUGAAACUCAAAGGAAUUGACGGGGACCCGCACAAGCGGUGGAGCAUGUGGUUUAAUUCGAAGCAACGCGAAGAACCUUACCAGGUCUUGACAUCCCUUGACAACUCCAGAGAUGGAGCGUUCCCUUCGGGGACAAGGUGACAGGUGGUGCAUGGUUGUCGUCAGCUCGUGUCGUGAGAUGUUGGGUUAAGUCCCGCAACGAGCGCAACCCUUAUUACUAGUUGCCAGCAUUCAGUUGGGCACUCUAGUGAGACUGCCGGUGACAAACCGGAGGAAGGUGGGGAUGACGUCAAAUCAUCAUGCCCCUUAUGACCUGGGCUACACACGUGCUACAAUGGCGUAUACAACGAGUUGCCAACCCGCGAGGGUGAGCUAAUCUCUUAAAGUACGUCUCAGUUCGGAUUGUAGGCUGCAACUCGCCUACAUGAAGUCGGAAUCGCUAGUAAUCGCGGAUCAGCACGCCGCGGUGAAUACGUUCCCGGGUCUUGUACACACCGCCCGUCACACCAUGAGAGUUUGUAACACCCAAAGCCGGUG
RNAcentral lists this ribosomal RNA (1351 nucleotides) under Weissella confusa. RNAcentral describes it as "16S ribosomal RNA". It matches the Rfam family "Bacterial small subunit ribosomal RNA", at positions 93 to 1432 of the family's 1533-position model. The record is from RNAcentral. Lineage: Bacteria; Bacillati; Bacillota; Bacilli; Lactobacillales; Lactobacillaceae.